This 65-nucleotide transfer RNA is filed under the name Dipodomys ordii (Ord's kangaroo rat). It matches the Rfam family "tRNA". From Rfam's summary of the family: Transfer RNA (tRNA) molecules are approximately 80 nucleotides in length. Their secondary structure includes four short double-helical elements and three loops (D, anti-codon, and T loops). Lineage: Eukaryota; Metazoa; Chordata; Mammalia; Rodentia; Heteromyidae. The record is from Rfam by way of RNAcentral.
GGUGACUCAGUGGUAGAGUGCUUGCCUUGCAUGCAUGAGGCCCUGGGUUCGGUUCCUCAGCACCU